CAGAACCUAAAGGCAGACCCAGAAGAGCUUUUUACAAAACUAGAGAAAAUUGGGAAGGGCUCCUUUGGAGAGGUGUUCAAAGGCAUUGACAAUCGGACUCAGAAAGUGGUUGCCAUAAAGAUCAUUGAUCUGGAAGAAGCUGAAGAUGAGAUAGAGGACAUUCAACAAGAAAUCACAGUGCUGAGUCAGUGUGACAGUCCAUAUGUAACCAAAUAUUAUGGAUCCUAUCUGAAGGGACCUUGGGGCCAGCUUGCGGUAAGAACUUGCCUUUAGAAGAUCCUUUGGUUCCCAUCAGUGUCUCCCUCUCCUCAAAGGGAUGGCAGCCCAGUGGACAGUGGGCACAUGACCCUGACAUCGACAGAC
This 363-nucleotide long non-coding RNA is filed under the name Homo sapiens (human). RNAcentral's name for it is "HSALNT0205791". The record is from RNAcentral. Lineage: Eukaryota; Metazoa; Chordata; Mammalia; Primates; Hominidae.